RNAcentral lists this transfer RNA (71 nucleotides) under Macleaya cordata. It matches the Rfam family "tRNA". Rfam says of the family: Transfer RNA (tRNA) molecules are approximately 80 nucleotides in length. The record is from Rfam by way of RNAcentral. Lineage: Eukaryota; Viridiplantae; Streptophyta; Magnoliopsida; Ranunculales; Papaveraceae.
GCACCAAUGGUCUUGUGGUAGAAUAGUACCCUGCCACAGUACAGACCCGGGUUUAAUUCCCGGCUGGUGCA